UCGGUGAGACGUCGAUCUUUCUCCUUCCAAAAUACGCUUUCCCACGCUCUUACUGCUUACCCGGCUUUCCCUCCGACUCACUCUCAUGUCUCUUCUACUUAGCUAGGGUUUGUUCUCAUUCACUUUCUGAAAUUCUACCAGGAUUCAUCGAUCCCUGCAAGAGUACUGCUUCGCGCCGGUAUUAGGCGGUGCUUUAGUUGCUGAUUGAAAAUGCAUAUUAAGAAGAUUAUUAUUGAAGGAUUUAAGAGUUACAAGGAGGAGGUCUCCACGGAUCCUUUUAGUCCCAAAGUUAACUGUGUUG
Long non-coding RNA from Phalaenopsis equestris, 301 nucleotides. RefSeq lists it as uncharacterized. The record is from RefSeq and is a predicted model, not a curated record. The transcript is spliced from 3 exons. NCBI's taxonomy places the organism in Eukaryota, Viridiplantae, Streptophyta, Magnoliopsida, Asparagales, Orchidaceae.